CAAACUGGGAUUAGAGACCCUACUAUGCUUGGCCCUAAACCUCAGUAGUUAGAUAACAAAACUACUCGCCAGAAUACUACAAGCAACAGCUUAAAACUCAAAGGACUUGACGGUGCUUUACACCCCCUAAAAGAACCUGGUCCCUAAUCCAUAAACCCCGAUCCACCCCCCCCUCUCUUGGUUAACCUAUAUACCGCCCUCUUUCACAAACCCUGAUAAAGGUCACAAAGUGAGCGCAAACGCCCCUACCGCGAAAACGUUAGGUCAAGGGGUAACCUAUGAGACGGGAAAAAAUGGGCUACAUUUUUUGUCUCAAAAAAUUCUACAAAAACCCUUAUGAAAUCUAAAGGUCCAAGGAGGAUUUAUCAGUAAAUUAAAAAAAAAGUGCUUAAUUGAACCAGGCCAUAAAGUGCGCACACACCCCCCGUCACUCCUCUCAAA
Molecule: ribosomal RNA, 441 nt
Filed under: Macaca radiata (bonnet macaque)
Lineage: Eukaryota; Metazoa; Chordata; Mammalia; Primates; Cercopithecidae
Description: partial small subunit ribosomal RNA
Source: RNAcentral